RNAcentral lists this long non-coding RNA (515 nucleotides) under Zea mays. Its description in RNAcentral is "long non-coding RNA (ZMAY_LNC001873)". The record is from RNAcentral. Lineage: Eukaryota; Viridiplantae; Streptophyta; Magnoliopsida; Poales; Poaceae.
CAAAGUGCAUACUCUGAAUCAGAUUACAUUUGCCUCGAAAAGAAAGCAAGAAAGAAAGCAGACAAUAUGCUUUUAGGCACACAACCCUUAGAUGAUGAAGCAGCUAGCUGAUAUGCUUAGUCUCUUCAGUAAGGCAAGGACGAACACGACAGUGCAGCAGUUACUUAAGAUUUCAGCAGAACCAUAGAAACACUUUACGAGAUGAAAAAAAGAACACAUACAAGAAGAAAAAAAAACUCAACCACAUAUGGAUACUCCCAUUAGACUUUGUUCUAAGAAGGCAACAGGGGUUUCAUGGACCCUGGAGUUCAAGGGUCGAGAAUCUUUCGUGCAACACGGUACGUUUGUAUGAGAAUUAUAUAUUUAAUUAGUUUUGAACUUUUGUUGAAAUAAAUUGAUGAGGAUUCAAAAUUUUACUGUGCAGUUACACACGGCUCUAAGGCAAAAGGAGGAUCAUUAUCUGAUUGGAUAAGAGUAGUCGGAGAACUAACAUAUACCUUGGCUGCAUGCGUCGA